RNAcentral lists this long non-coding RNA (674 nucleotides) under Homo sapiens (human). RNAcentral describes it as "HSALNT0128697". Lineage: Eukaryota; Metazoa; Chordata; Mammalia; Primates; Hominidae. The record is from RNAcentral.
UAAUUUUUGUAUUUUUUUAGUGAAGACAGAGUUUUGCCAUGUUGGCCAGGCUGGUCUUGAACUCUUGACCUCAGGUGAUCUGCCUGCCUUGGCCUCCCAAAGUGCUGGAAUUACAGGCAUAAGUCUAUGCACCUGGCGUCUGGGGUCCCUUUUAUAAGAGCAUUAAUGCCAUGAGGACAGAGCCCUCACGAACUCAUCAUCUCCCAAAGGCCCCACCUUCUAACACUGUCACACGAAGGAUCCAGUUUCAAUGUAUGAAUUGUAUAGAAAACAUUCAGACCACAGUCAUAAGAAUUUCAAGAUGAGAUCCAGGGUGGGCCCUAAAUUCAGCGACUGCUGUCCUUACAGGGGAAAGGAAAGGGCGACGUGAGACACAGGGGAGAAGACUGUCUGAGGAAGGCAGGCAGAGCCGCAGAGAUUUAGAGUUAUGCAACCCCAGCCAAGAAACACCACAAGCCACCAAAAAUUAGAAGAGUCACCACUCUUCUGGAUUUCCUGCUACAACAACAGAAUACCACAGACGCGGUAAUUUACAAUGAAAAGAAGUUUACUUGGCUCACUCAUCUGGAGGCUUCCAUCACAUCCAAGACCAAGGGGCACAUCUGGGUUCAAAGAAGAAAAUUCGCCACAAGCACAGAAUUCUUUCAAGUCCCAGUUUUUAAAUUCAUGUGCAC